RNAcentral lists this small RNA (124 nucleotides) under Marmota monax (woodchuck). The record is from RNAcentral. Lineage: Eukaryota; Metazoa; Chordata; Mammalia; Rodentia; Sciuridae.
GUCGGGCCUGGUGGUGCCCUCCUGUAAUCCCAGCAGCUCAGGAGGCUGAGACAGGAGGAUUGUGGGUUCAAACCAGCCUUAGCAACAGUGAGGUGCUAAGCAACUCAGUGAGACCCUGUCUCAU